Phrynosoma platyrhinos (Desert horned lizard) is the source of this 73-nucleotide non-coding RNA. The record is from the annotation of a GenBank genome assembly. Lineage: Eukaryota; Metazoa; Chordata; Lepidosauria; Squamata; Phrynosomatidae.
AGCUGGUGUUGUAUAGUGGUUUGAAUGUUGGAUUAUGACUCUGGAGACCAGGGUUCAAAUCCCCGCUCGGCUA